UCACAGUAAGAAUAAUGGGUCCUCUUAUUCGGUUGUUGAGAGUUUGUGACACUGAUGAAAGGCCUUCUUUGGGAUAUGUUUAUGAAGGUAUGUUUAGAGCAAUUACUGGCAUCAAGAAGUUGUUCAGAAAUAGUGAAAGAUUGUAUAAGGCUUACGUUGAUAUCAUCAAUGACCGGUGGGAUCAAAUGUUGAGGAAAAAUUUGCAUGCUACAGCCUAUUUUUUAAAUCCUGCUUUUCAGUAUGACACUGCCACAUUCUCUGCACAUCCAGAAAUUACAAAUGGUUUGUUGGAUUACAUAGAGUCAAAAGUGGAUUGGUGUAGUGUGGAAAGUUUAACAAAGGAAAUUGGAAUGUAUUGAGAGCAGGAGGGAAGUUUUGGCAGAAAACUUGCUAUUCUCACUAGUGAGAAAGACAGGCCAGAGAAUUGGUGGAAACUCUUUGGAUGUGAUGCUCCAAAUUUACAAAAGCUUGCAAUUCGGGUUUUAAGUCAAACCGCUUCUUCUUUAGGAUGUGAGUGUAAUUGGAGUGUUUUUGAAUGUAUUCACACUAAAAAAAGGAACAGGUUGAAGCAUCAAAGGCUCAACGAUCUUGUACAUGUGCAUUAUAAUUUGCAUUUGCAAAAUAGGCAUAAUCAGCAAAAAAGAUCGUAUGAUCCCGUUGAUUAUGAGUCCAUUGAUAAAACAGAAUUUUGGGUGGUUGAAGAAGAACAAGAAGGGGAACUUGAUUAUGAUGAGUUAGAUGAAGAACUUGAAGAAAUUCCAGUUCAUGAUCAAGGUUCAAAUUCUCAACCAUUUGAAGAUAAUGAAGAUGAAGGGGAAGAUGUUGAUUUAGAAGCAUUUCAGCGUAGAAACUUUUUUAAUGAUGAUGAAGAUGAUGAUUG
Molecule: non-coding RNA, 880 nt
Organism: Coffea arabica (coffee)
Lineage: Eukaryota; Viridiplantae; Streptophyta; Magnoliopsida; Gentianales; Rubiaceae
Source: RefSeq, a predicted model, not a curated record